AUUGGUGCCUAUAAAUGUAUUUUUCAGGAAAGUAACUAGUCUUAAAAGCAAAUGCACAGCAUUGGUUUUGGUGAUUCAACUUGAUAACCAAGUACAAUAAUUUAUGCUAAUAAUUAAAAUUAUAUUGUUUUGGGUUAAAUUUUUUACGCAACUACUUAUACUAAAGCUCAAUAAAACGCUCAUUGCGUGUGUAUGUGUGUGGUAUGUAAAAAUAUUGGCUACAAUUGAACAGCUAUUGGCUUAUCUGACUAAAUGAACUGACAUGAAAAUAGUCUAACAAAUAUAUAUAUUCUAUGAAAAUGUAUAUUUUGCGAUAAAACUUAUCGAAACACAUGUAAGUGUACAGUAAGGCCUGUGGAAAAAAUUCCCCUUUAGCAUAAAAUGCUUUGAAAAUACUGUUUGACGAAUUUCUUUGUCUUAAACUGACAAUUAUAUGAUAUGUUUUUUUUUUAUUUAUGUUUUAAAAAAUAAUUUUUUUUUUAUUUAUUUGUAAAUAAUAAACAAACUAACUUAACCUAAAUUAGCUUACGUUUUUUUAACGAAAGUUUUCAAUAAAUAAACAUAAAAACUCGAAAUAAGUCUACAAUGCAAUUAAAAAAUAUUAAAAAAAAAAUUUAAAAUAUAUUGAUAAAUUAUUUUUCAAUUUCAAACAAGCUCGAUGCCAUAACACUUGAGUUCAUUGUUUUAGGGCUAUAUUUUAUAUAUAGACACUACAUUUCACAAUGCAUCAAUAUAAUUUUAUUGUCUUUUAUUUAUGAGCUAUCAGACAAACCCUAUAACCGCAUUAUUGUGAAAUUACAUACAAGCAUACGUAUGUACUGCAUGACAGGCAUUUUUCCAGGUAAUCAAACCAAUAAUGAUAGAUUAACUUUAUUUAUGUAUUUAUUGGAAAUGGCAGGUGGUUUUUACUUAUCAAACAAAGGCAUAAAAUGCACAACAUGGCAAAUUGACUUAGUUUGGUAUUAAUAAGAAAUCCAAAGUAUCGAAAAAUUGAUUAUUGAAGCAAAUUUCUAAAGUAUCUCGCAAAUUAAGUUGAAUAGGUCAGGGAACCAACUAAAAAGCAGCUUUGGAUAAAAAUAAUAUUUGUAUAUGUGUAAAAAGCGUUCAAUCAAAUACACGUGUAAAUACAUAUUUACUACACAUACAUAGUUGCAAACUGAAAUGAAUCACUCACGAAUUAUAUUUUGUUAUCUUUCAUGGACUCUUAUAAUUAUUACAUGCCAAUUGUGUUUGUCGUAGCCUCAACAACUGUUUACUCUUUUCGGGGUUAGCAGCGGCACUAAGCACCUAUUAUGUACUUUCUAUACUGUAAAGGGGUUUAUAGUGUUUACAAUAUAGUUGAAUAUGUAUAUGGAUAUCAAUAUUUAUAUUAAUAUGCUGGGGUAUUUUUUAUGAAAUAAAUAAAAAUCAUUAACCAUUGAUGCUCUUACCUGAUAAUUAAUUACCACACAAUUAAGAUUAAUUCAAACAAUUUUGGGUAGCAGCAGCGGUGCUCAUCUUUCUGUUUGUACCCUGAAAAGCGUAUAUCUUCUAAAGUACAUAUACCAAAACAGAUAAGAGUGUCGAACAGUACUCAAAUUUAUGAUUUUUACUUAAUUUAAUUCUCAAAAAUUGCCAAAUCCUUAUUACUUACAUUAAAAUUAUUAAAGGCACAGCAUUUUUUGUUCAAAUAUAAAAUAAAAUAAUUAUUUCAAAGAUGUCAUUAUAUAAAUGUCACACAAAAUGUAAAAUCGCAUGAUAUAUCUUGGGUAAUAACAGCACUGCAAUUAAUUAAUAUUGCUGACUUCGUUAAAAGGCACCUAUCAUCAUUGGGAGUAUAAUAUUGUACAAUUUUUUAUCCUCUAAUAAACACUUCGUUAACAAUAAAGUGUAUAAAAUUGAAUUUUGAACUAUGCAGCACUAUUUUGAACUCAUGCAACACAUAUGUAUGUAUAUUUCGCUUAACAUCAAACAAAUCGCAUGUAAGCUAACAUAAGUAACGGAGCAGUGCUGUCACUAUUGCCAGCGCACACACAACUGCACUGUAUAAGCAUAAAACAACGCAGCAAAUGUGCUGGCAUAUUUACAUACAAAUUAAUAAAACAUUAUUAUAUAUAACAAAUAACUUACCUCAAUUGUGUUUAAGAUGUGUAGAAACGGAAUAUGUUGCCGUAAAAGCUAUAAUAUUUACAAAUACGUAAAAAAACUCACACUUUUGCACACUUGGCCGGCACUCCGAUUUGCAGCGGCCACUUUUUCACAACACAAAAUAAACCAUAUAUUUGCACUGCCGGAGCACAUUUUUCACUUCUAUUCUAUAUUGAAAAUUUACAUAUUUCACUAGGAGCUUCUGACAAAGCAAGUUACUUUAACACAAGAUGAAACGGAAACUGACAGCAAACUAAGGAAAUGGCGGUCAAAUCUGGCUGUGCACAGAGUUGCAUUUUUUUAUUGCGAUAUAUUUUCUUUAUAAUUUUAUUAUUUUAUUAAAUUAAAAAUGCAGGUUUUAUUUUAAUUUUA
Molecule: long non-coding RNA, 2499 nt
Organism: Bactrocera dorsalis (oriental fruit fly)
Lineage: Eukaryota; Metazoa; Arthropoda; Insecta; Diptera; Tephritidae
Exons: 2
Source: RefSeq, a predicted model, not a curated record